This 301-nucleotide ribosomal RNA is filed under the name uncultured bacterium. Its description in RNAcentral is "partial 16S ribosomal RNA". It matches the Rfam family "Bacterial small subunit ribosomal RNA", at positions 509 to 808 of the family's 1533-position model. The record is from RNAcentral.
CAGCCGCCGCGGGAAUACGUAGGUCCCGAGCGUUGUCCGGAUUUAUUGGGCGUAAAGGGAGCGCAGGCGGUUUAGUAAGUCUGAAGUUAAAGGCAUUGGCUCAACCAAUGUAUGCUUUGGAAACUGUUAGACUUGAGUGCAGAAGGGGAGAGUGGAAUUCCAUGUGUAGCGGUGAAAUGCGUAGGUAUAUGGAGGAACACCGGUGGCGAAAGCGGCUCUCUGGUCUGUCACUGACGCUGAGGCUCGAAAGCGUGGGUAGCGAACAGGAUUAGAUACCCCCGUAGUCCCUGUCUCUUAUACA